RNAcentral lists this ribosomal RNA (639 nucleotides) under uncultured Streptomyces sp. RNAcentral describes it as "bacterial SSU rRNA". It matches the Rfam family "Bacterial small subunit ribosomal RNA", at positions 223 to 872 of the family's 1533-position model. Lineage: Bacteria; Bacillati; Actinomycetota; Actinomycetes; Kitasatosporales; Streptomycetaceae. The record is from RNAcentral.
GGAUGAGCCCGCGGCCUAUCAGCUUGUUGGUGAGGUAAUGGCUCACCAAGGCGACGACGGGUAGCCGGCCUGAGAGGGCGACCGGCCACACUGGGACUGAGACACGGCCCAGACUCCUACGGGAGGCAGCAGUGGGGAAUAUUGCACAAUGGGCGAAAGCCUGAUGCAGCGACGCCGCGUGAGGGAUGACGGCCUUCGGGUUGUAAACCUCUUUCAGCAGGGAAGAAGCGAAAGUGACGGUACCUGCAGAAGAAGCGCCGGCUAACUACGUGCCAGCAGCCGCGGUAAUACGUAGGGCGCAAGCGUUGUCCGGAAUUAUUGGGCGUAAAGAGCUCGUAGGCGGCUUGUCACGUCGGGUGUGAAAGCCCGGGGCUUAACCCCGGGUCUGCAUUCGAUACGGGCUAGCUAGAGUGUGGUAGGGGAGAUCGGAAUUCCUGGUGUAGCGGUGAAAUGCGCAGAUAUCAGGAGGAACACCGGUGGCGAAGGCGGAUCUCUGGGCCAUUACUGACGCUGAGGAGCGAAAGCGUGGGGAGCGAACAGGAUUAGAUACCCUGGUAGUCCACGCCGUAAACGGUGGGAACUAGGUGUUGGCGACAUUCCACGUCGUCGGUGCCGCAGCUAACGCAUUAAGUUCCCCGC